RNAcentral lists this long non-coding RNA (1840 nucleotides) under Oreochromis niloticus (Nile tilapia). RNAcentral describes it as "lncRNA (ENSONIG00000039720.1)". The record is from RNAcentral. Lineage: Eukaryota; Metazoa; Chordata; Actinopteri; Cichliformes; Cichlidae.
CCAUUUCUAGCCAACCUGGUUGUCCAUUUUAAGAUAAAGCCUCUUCUCACCCACAACCUGGUAUUCAUCUUUUUUUUUGUUGCGGCCUUGAGCCGGGUCGUAACAGAAUUGGGGGCUCGUCCGGGAUACAUUCGUCUUCGCUGGAGGGUCCGGAGGACCGCUUCAGCAUUCUGUUUCAGCUGGAGGGUCCGAGGGGCCUGUCCAGCCUUCAUUCAUCUUCGCUGGAGGGUCCGAGGGGCCUGUCCAGCCAACAUUCGUCUUCGCUGGAGGGUCCGAGGGGCCUGUCCAGCAUUCGUCCGUCUUCGCUGGAGGGUCCGAGGGACCGCUUCAGCCUUCCGUUUCCGCUGGAGGGGUCCAAGGGGCCUGUCCAGCCAACAUUCGUCUUCGCUGGAGGGUCCGAGGGGCCUGUCCAGCAUUCGUCCGUCUUCGCUGGAGGGUCCGAGGGACCGCUUCAGCCUUCCGUUUCCGCUGGAGGGGUCCAAGGGGCCUGUCCAGCCAACAUUCGUCUUCGCUGGAGGGUCCGAGGGGCCUGUUCAGCCUUCGUCUGUCUUCGCUGGAGGGUCCGAGGGACCGCUUCAGCAUUCCGUCUUCGCUGGAGGGUCCGAGGGACCGCUUCAGCCUUCAGUCUCCGCUGGAGGGUCCAAAGGGCCUGUCCAGCCAUCAUUCGUCUUCGCUGGAGGGUCCGGAGGACCGCUUCAGCAUUCUGUUUCAGCUGGAGGGUCCGAGGGGCCUGUCCAGCCUUCAUUCGUCUCCGCUGGAGGGGUCCAAGGGGCCUGUCCAGCCAACAUUCGUCUUCGCUGGAGGGUCCGAGGGACCGCUUCAGCAUUCGUCCGUCUUCGCUGGAGGGUCCGAGGGACCGCUUCAGCCAUCAUUCGUCUUCGCUGGAGGGUCCGGAGGACCGCUUCAGCAUUCUGUUUCAGCUGGAGGGUCCGAGGGGCCUGUCCAGCCUUCAUUCGUCUCCGCUGGAGGGGUCCAAGGGGCCUGUCCAGCCAACAUUCGUCUUCGCUGGAGGGUCCGAGGGGCCUGUCCAGCCUUCGUCCGUCUUCGCUGGAGGGUCCGAGGGGCCUGUCCAGCCAUCAUUCGUCUUCGCUGGAGGGUCCGGAGGACCGCUUCAGCAUUCAGUCUGCCUGCAGAAUAGCGGCCAGUGCCUUGUGCGCUGGUCCUCCAGGACUACAGCAUUCAUGGCUCUCUAGGUCAUGAAUCAAACAUUUUCAUUUGGGGUUAAAUGUUUGAUUUUUGGGUGGGGGGAAAUGUUACGAUUUAAUGUUGUCAGUGUUUUGUUUUAUGUUAUGUUUAAGGAUUUGUUCUCGUUUCCUGUUUUAUUGUGAAGGUCUGCGUCUCAUGUGAGUGUGUUCAGUUUUACCUCUGUCUCGUCUUGUUGAUUAUUCCCAGCUGUGUUCCCCACCUGUGUGCAAUCUCCCUGUGUUUCCCUGUGUGUAUUUAAGUCGCGUCCUCUGUCUUGGUAGCAGUCUUAAGCGUUUAGUUGAACAACUGAACAAUACUAAUCCCAUAUAUGAUAUUCUCCCAUCUCGCAUAGUUAAGGACUGCUUCAGUGUUAUUGGACCCAGUAUAUUGUCGCUAUUGAAUUCUUCCUUACUCUCCGGCUGCAUCCCGUCAGCCUUUAAACAUGCUAUAGUUCAACCUGUUCUUAAAAAAAGGAACCUUGAUUAUAAUGAUUAUGCGAACUACAGGCCGAUCUCCAACCUUCCGUUCCUGGCCAAAAUCCUUGAGAAGAUAGUUUUGCUGCAACUCCAGGCAUACCUGGAUGAGAAUAACAUUAAUGAUAAAUUCCAAUCGGCCUUCAAACCACAUCAUAGCACUGAGACGGCGCUGCUUCGAG